This 520-nucleotide ribosomal RNA is filed under the name uncultured Glomus. Its description in RNAcentral is "SSU rRNA". It matches the Rfam family "Eukaryotic small subunit ribosomal RNA", at positions 569 to 1100 of the family's 1831-position model. The record is from RNAcentral. Lineage: Eukaryota; Fungi; Glomeromycota; Glomeromycetes; Glomerales; Glomeraceae.
AGCAGCCGCGGUAAUUCAUAGCGUAUAUUAAAGUUGUUGCAGUUAAAAAGCUCGUAGUUGAAUUUCGAGACCGGUUUAUUGGUCGUGCUUUUGUACGUACUGGUAUAAUCGGUUUCUCUCUUCUGACGAACUAUAAUGCCAUUAAUUUGGUGUUCUGGGAAAUCAGGACUGUUACUUUGAAAAAUUAGAGUGUUUAAAGCAGGCUCACGCUUGAAUACAUUAGCAUGGAAUAACGGAAUAGGACGUUUGAUUCUAUUUUGUUGGUUUCUAGGAUCGACGUAAUGAUUAAUAGGGAUAGUUGGGGGCAUUAGUAUUCAAUUGUCAGAGGUGAAAUUCUUGGAUUUAUUGAAGACUAACUACUGCGAAAGCAUUUGCCAAGGAUGUUUUCAUUAAUCAAGAACGAAAGUUAGGGGAUCGAAGACGAAUCAGAUACCGUCGUAGUCUUAACCAUAAACUAUGCCGACUAGGGAUCGGAUGAUGUUAAUUUUUAAUGACUCAUUCGGCGCCUUACGGGAAACCA